CGUGGACAUCCCCAAGCACAUCCAAAACAUAAGCCCUGGAAUUGGAGAAAACUUCCUUUCAUCAUAAAACUGCUGUUCAAGUGACUUAGAAUGAUCACAUCGGAAGAGUAAAGUGAGUUCGCUGUGUAGGCACUGAGUAUAGUUGACAGGUUUCUUACCGGACAUAGGAAGACUUGUGUAUGGAAGAGAAGGUGGUCAUGUGACCGCAUUGCUAACUUUUGACAAAGGGAGAACAGACGGCAUAUGUUACCAUAUUAAGAAUGUCUACAAAGUCUUUGAAGCAAAUCAGGGGUCCAUUCAGCAUCACUGUUGAUAGAAAUCAUGGUACCCACAGAGAACAGAAGAGUUACUGGAUCUCUUGAAUCAGGAGAUGCAGGCAGUUGUGAGCCACCCUACAUGUGCUAGGAAUCAGACUCUGGUCUUCUGAAAAAUCAGAGUGACUGUCCUGUAUGGGCUGUAUUCUCCAUUAAUCUUUGGAAGUUGAAAGCUUGCUUUAGUUUCACAUGCUCAUGGUUAGUGGAUGUUCCUGUUACGGUGGAUCCUGAUUUGAUCUUCACAUGAGAUUCUGGACUUUGAAUGUUGAUAUUGAAAUAAGCAAAAGGCUUACAGAUUUCUGUGGAUAUUUGCAUGAAAAUAAGAUUCCAUUUGAGCUGAAUGUUUACUUCUUACUUCUCCCUUCAGAGGACACAGUGAUUUCCAUGGCUGGGAGUCUCCAAAUAGCGGAUUAUUUCUUCAAGCUGGUAACAAUGCAAGACGUACUUGGGAUAAAAUUUCUCUGCACAUUUCAUGCUCAUAUUUAAAGAAAGUAUAGUUUUGUGCAAGUAUAAAGGCUUAGGAAAUUCACUGGCAGAAAUGGUCUUGCAAAUACCCUUAGUGUAUUUCUAGGUUCUAAAGAAUUUAUUUGGACCCGGUGAGAGAGAAACCCAACCGCCUGGUCAGGUGGGCACUCCUGAGGCUGCAGAGCGGAAGAGACCACCAACACUGCUCACCCCUGCCCACAUCCCUGGCCCAAGAGGAAACUGUAUAAGGCCUCUGGGCUCCCGUGGGGGAGGGCCCAGGAGCGGCAGGACCCCGCCGGACCCUGAAGGAAACAGACCGGAUAAACAGUUCUCUGCACCCAAAUCCCGUGGGAGGGAGAGCUAAACCUUCAGAGAGGCGGACAAGCCUGGGAAACCAGAAGAGACUGCUCCCUGCAC
Molecule: long non-coding RNA, 1196 nt
Organism: Rattus norvegicus (Norway rat)
Lineage: Eukaryota; Metazoa; Chordata; Mammalia; Rodentia; Muridae
Source: RefSeq, a predicted model, not a curated record